Molecule: transfer RNA, 74 nt
Filed under: Planctomycetales bacterium 71-10
Lineage: Bacteria; Pseudomonadati; Planctomycetota; Planctomycetia; Planctomycetales
Description: tRNA-Gln
Rfam family: tRNA (bases 14-72)
About the family: Transfer RNA (tRNA) molecules are approximately 80 nucleotides in length.
Source: RNAcentral
UCCGGGGCGGUCGCGGCUGGUCGCGGCGCCAGGCUCUGGACCUGGAGGCGCUGGUUCGAUUCCAGCCCCCGGAA